GUUUCUUGCAACCAUUCAGUACAUGAAUCAUUGCCUUGUCACUAUCCCCAGCAAACGCUAAUGAAAGCAUUUCUAGAUGCUUUGCAUAUUCACCAAUGUAAUAGAAGACCUGAUCUGUAAGAAGGCCUGAGAGAGAUAAACGUCUCAGACCUUUGCACGCUUGAACGAUCGCCCCAAAACCUUCAUCCAGUGCAUUCCCAGUUACAGGGUCCGGUUUUGUGGGAUCGAGGAUGCACAACCUGAAGCGUAUGAAGUUUGGGUUGUUCUUUGCUACAGUUACAAGGGCAGCAUUUGUCAUCUGAUGGCAGAAGUAUAAUAUCGAAUGAAGUUUCGGGCAACCCGUCGAUAUAGCAACCAAACCUUCUUCUGUGACAGCAA
This 378-nucleotide unclassified non-coding RNA is filed under the name Hevea brasiliensis (rubber tree). Lineage: Eukaryota; Viridiplantae; Streptophyta; Magnoliopsida; Malpighiales; Euphorbiaceae. The record is from RNAcentral.